This 249-nucleotide ribosomal RNA is filed under the name uncultured bacterium. RNAcentral describes it as "partial 16S ribosomal RNA". It matches the Rfam family "Bacterial small subunit ribosomal RNA", at positions 57 to 305 of the family's 1533-position model. The record is from RNAcentral.
GCAAGUCGAGGGGUAACAGGGAGCUUGCUCCGCUGACGACCGGCGCACGGGUGCGUAACGCGUAUAGAACCUACCUUUUACAGAGGGAUAGCCUUUAGAAAUGAAGAUUAAUACCUCAUAGUAUUAAGAAUUGGCAUCGAUUUUUAAUUAAAGAUUUAUUGGUAAAAGAUGGCUAUGCGUCCUAUUAGCUAGAUGGCAAGGUAACGGCUUCCCAUGGCAACGAUAGGUAGGGGUCCUGAGAGGGAGAUC